Molecule: long non-coding RNA, 700 nt
Organism: Oncorhynchus keta (chum salmon)
Lineage: Eukaryota; Metazoa; Chordata; Actinopteri; Salmoniformes; Salmonidae
Exons: 3
Source: RefSeq, a predicted model, not a curated record
AAAGUGACUGAAAUCAUUACAUUUUAAAAGGUGACAUUUUCAUAGACAUGUCAAGUGACAGGAAGCCAUGUCAGGGGACAGGAAGCCAUGUCAGGGGACAGGAAGCCAUGUCAGGGGACAGGAAGCCAUGUCAGGGGACAGGAAGCCAUGUCAGGGGACAGGAAGCCAUGUCAGGGGACAGGAAGCCAUGUCAGGGGACAGGAAGCCAUGUCAAGUGACAGGAAGCCAUGUCAGGGGACAGGAAGACAUGUCAGGGGACAGGAAGCCAUGUCAGGGGACAGGAAGCCAUGUCAGGGGACAGGAAGCCAUGUCAGGGGACAGGAAGCCAUGUCAGGGGACAGGAAGCCAUGUCAGGGGACAGGAAGCCAUGUCAGGGGACAGGAAGCCAUGUCAGGGGACAGGAAGCCAUGUCAGGGGACAGGAAGCCAUGUCAGGGGACAGGAAGCCAUGUCAGGGGACAGGAAGCCAUGUCAGGGGACAGGAAGCCAUGUCAGGGGACAGGAAGCCAUGUCAGGGGACAGGAAGCCAUGUCAGGGGACAGGAAGCCAUGUCAGGGGACAGGAAGCCAUGUCAGGGGACAGGAAGCCAUGUCAGGGGACAGGAAGCCAUGUCAGGGGACAGGAAGCCAUGUCAGGGGACAGGAAUAGAAUGCUUUUGUGUGUUUGGCAGAGAGGAUUUGAUGUUAACUUUGACACUCACC